This 1250-nucleotide ribosomal RNA is filed under the name uncultured Psychrobacter sp. RNAcentral describes it as "bacterial SSU rRNA". It matches the Rfam family "Bacterial small subunit ribosomal RNA", at positions 111 to 1360 of the family's 1533-position model. The record is from RNAcentral. Lineage: Bacteria; Pseudomonadati; Pseudomonadota; Gammaproteobacteria; Moraxellales; Moraxellaceae.
UAAUACUUAGGAAUCUACCUAGUAGUGGGGGAUAGCUCGGGGAAACUCGAAUUAAUACCGCAUACGACCUACGGGAGAAAGGGGGCAACUUGUUGCUCUCGCUAUUAGAUGAGCCUAAGUCGGAUUAGCUAGAUGGUGGGGUAAAGGCCUACCAUGGCGACGAUCUGUAGCUGGUCUGAGAGGAUGAUCAGCCACACCGGGACUGAGACACGGCCCGGACUCCUACGGGAGGCAGCAGUGGGGAAUAUUGGACAAUGGGGGCAACCCUGAUCCAGCCAUGCCGCGUGUGUGAAGAAGGCCUUUUGGUUGUAAAGCACUUUAAGCAGUGAAGAAGACUCCAUGGUUAAUACCCAUGGACGAUGACAUUAGCUGCAGAAUAAGCACCGGCUAACUCUGUGCCAGCAGCCGCGGUAAUACAGAGGGUGCAAGCGUUAAUCGGAAUUACUGGGCGUAAAGCGAGCGUAGGUGGCUUGAUAAGUCAGAUGUGAAAGCCCCGGGCUUAACCUGGGAACGGCAUCUGAUACUGUUAGGCUAGAGUAGGUGAGAGGAAGGUAGAAUUCCAGGUGUAGCGGUGAAAUGCGUAGAGAUCUGGAGGAAUACCGAUGGCGAAGGCAGCCUUCUGGCAUCAUACUGACACUGAGGUUCGAAAGCGUGGGUAGCAAACAGGAUUAGAUACCCUGGUAGUCCACGCCGUAAACGAUGUCUACUAGUCGUUGGGUCCCUUGAGGACUUAGUGACGCAGCUAACGCAAUAAGUAGACCGCCUGGGGAGUACGGCCGCAAGGUUAAAACUCAAAUGAAUUGACGGGGGCCCGCACAAGCGGUGGAGCAUGUGGUUUAAUUCGAUGCAACGCGAAGAACCUUACCUGGUCUUGACAUAUCUAGAAUCCUGCAGAGAUGCGGGAGUGCCUUCGGGAAUUAGAAUACAGGUGCUGCAUGGCUGUCGUCAGCUCGUGUCGUGAGAUGUUGGGUUAAGUCCCGCAACGAGCGCAACCCUUGUCCUUAGUUACCAGCGGUUUGGCCGGGAACUCUAAGGAUACUGCCAGUGACAAACUGGAGGAAGGCGGGGACGACGUCAAGUCAUCAUGGCCCUUACGACCAGGGCUACACACGUGCUACAAUGGUAGGUACAGAGGGCAGCUACACAGCGAUGUGAUGCGAAUCUCAAAAAGCCUAUCGUAGUCCAGAUUGGAGUCUGCAACUCGACUCCAUGAAGUAGGAAUCGCUAGUAAUCGCGGAUCAGAAUGCCGC